Molecule: ribosomal RNA, 431 nt
Filed under: uncultured bacterium
Lineage: Bacteria
Description: partial 16S ribosomal RNA
Rfam family: Bacterial small subunit ribosomal RNA
Source: RNAcentral
CCUACGGGUGGCUGCAGUUCGGAAUAUUCGGCAAUGGACGAAAGUCUGACCGAGCGACGCCGCGUGCGGGAUGAAGGCCUAUGGGUUGUAAACCGCUUUCGCGAGUAGGCGUAAGGCUCGUAAAGAAGCCCCCGCUAAUCACGUGCCAGCAGCGGCGGUAAUACGUGAGGGGCGAACGUUGUUCGGUGUCACUGGGCUUAAAGGGUGCGUAGGUGGUUCUGUAAGUAAGGUGUGAAAUCCCUCGGCUUACCCGGGGAAUUGCAUUUUAUACUGCAGGACUUGAGGGCUAAAGGGGAAAAGGGAACUCCAGGUGUAGCGGUGAAAUGCGCAGAUAUCUGGGGGAAGGCCGGCGGCGAAGGCGCUUUUCUGGUAUACCUGACACUGAGGCACGAAAGCGUGGGGAGCAAACAGGAUUAGAUACCCUUGUAGUC